Long non-coding RNA from Rosa rugosa (rugosa rose), 2004 nucleotides. RefSeq lists it as uncharacterized. NCBI's taxonomy places the organism in Eukaryota, Viridiplantae, Streptophyta, Magnoliopsida, Rosales, Rosaceae. The record is from RefSeq and is a predicted model, not a curated record. The transcript has 11 exons.
UAUCGUUCUCCUUCUCAUCGUCAUCUCGCUCAUCGUUAUCCUUGUCCCCCCCAAUUUGAUUCACCUCCCCGAUUCAGAAAUUAGAAGGUGUUGAUAGAUUGGGGUUUCGAAUAAGUCAUUCGAUUGGCGGCGGCGUCGUAUUGGGUUUGGGGGCUGUAAAGUCAACCUUUUUUUACCGUACUCUUGCAAGCACUGAGAUAUAAAACACCAGUGGCGUUUCCCAGUCAAAUUAUGUCAGAAAGGCGGCCUGGGUCUGUUUGAGACCUAUCUAUCUAUCAAGUUUUUAAUUUCAGAGGAAGUAGGAAAAGAAUGGGGCAAAGCAACCACUAAACCACAACAUCUUUUCUUAUGAAAUUUGAGAGUACUUUUUCUGAGGGGUUACGUGAAUGCAUUGCGGUCCUGUUACCUCACAAUGGAAACUGCUUUUGUCUUGCAUGAGGGGAUUUGUGAAAGCUUGUCUGUACCUGCGUAUAGCUUCUGGUCUUCUAGUACUAGAAGCCAAGCUGUUUCUGCAUUUGGAGGAUUUGCUUUAUGUGGUUAAAGCCAAACCCCAUGAUCACAGGAUGAUGUGUGACGCACCGAUUGUGCAACCUAAGUUGAGCGAGUUAAAGAUUUAACUGAGCAGUUUCCAGCCGCUACACGCCUUGCUUUGGUACUGAAACAGUUCUUGGCAGAUCGUAGUCUGGAUCAGUCUUAUUCUGGUGGCUUGAUUUCCUACUGUUUGGUACUACUAAUUGUGCGUUUUCCCCAGCAUGAGUGUCUUCUUGGCCAACCUAUCAACCAAGACUUCGGAGACCUUCUGAUGAAUUUUCUUUAUUUUUUUGGGAAUGUUUUUGAUCCUCGGAAAAUGCGUAUUUCCGUACAGGGAAAUGGAGUUUAUAUAAAGAGGGAAAGAGGUUGCAGCAUCGACCCCAUACACAUUCAUGAUCCCCUUUUUCCGACUAAUAUUGUGGGACGCAAUUGCUUUUGGAUACAUCAAUGUAUCAUGGUUUUGCACCGCUGGGCUUCCUAGUGAUGUUGUUGAAGUUGGAGAAAUGUCUUUCCAUCUUCAUAAUUUUCUUUUGCUCUCAAGAAGUGAGUUCAUGGAAAGUUGAUUUAAGAAGCAUCCGAAGAUGGAGAAGAAGCAUGCAAUAUAAACUUCCCUGAUAUUCGUGGUAGGCUAAAACUUUCGAACUGGUAGCCAAGUUCUGCUAUGGGGUGAAACUUGAACUGACUGCCUCAAAUGUUGUAUGCCUGCGAUGUGCUGCUAAGCACCUUGAAAGGACUGCAGAGUAUGAGGAAGGCAAUUUAUCCUAGUCUUCUGAGGAGAGUUGGCUGCCCAUCGCUAGCAUCGUUUUCUGCAUUAUUUAUAUCCAGGCUUGAAGAGGAUUGAGCUCUGUGCAUUUGGAACCAAAAUCGACGAUACCAGCUCAUUGGCAUCAAAUGAUCAUGUCAGUAGAUUGCUUUCUUCCCAGGCCUUGAUUCAACUAAAUGACAAAAGAUCUCUUCUUUUGUAUAGUUUUCUUCUUAUUGUUGCUACCCAAAAUUUCUGGCGGAGACCUCCGGUGAGCUUAGUAAUUCAGGGGAGAAGGUUUCCAAACCAGAUAUGGUCUCAAUUAUUGUUAUUUUCGAGUUCUAGGUAUUUAGUAUGCUACUAGCUUAUGAUGUUCGAGCACUAGCUUUUUGUUGAUAGUUUGUUACUUUUCUUGCUGUUACUAAUGUUCUUGUGUCUGACAUGUCUUGCUGCCAUAUAUAUUUUCUUUUUUCUAUCGGAAUCUUGCUGCCAUGUUGAAUGGGAAAAUUUUGGUGGUUACUGACUAUGGCUUGCUGGAUACAUCUUGAUAGGGGAGCCAAAGAGGGCCGGUGGAUGGGACAUAUUCCUGUUUAAUUGUUGUUCAAGACCACCUUGAUUACAAGCUCAAUCCUAGUAUAUCCAUAUAUAGAAUUUCUUAAUCUUGUUGUCAAUCUAUUCCUUACAUGGAAAUAUAAAUUGUGUGUGAGCUCCUUGGAGAAAUUAAGUUUAAA